This 391-nucleotide long non-coding RNA is filed under the name Spirodela polyrhiza (greater duckweed). RNAcentral describes it as "long non-coding RNA (SPOL_LNC001997)". Lineage: Eukaryota; Viridiplantae; Streptophyta; Magnoliopsida; Alismatales; Araceae. The record is from RNAcentral.
GAUGACAAGUGGGGCAAUGGUUUCAAGUCUAUUUCGCCGAGUGGGGUUCAGGGUGGGCGAUCAACACUGCAGAAUGUUCGAAAUUGACCCCGAACCGUGGUGGCCUUAUGAUUCAUGGAAUGGAGAACCCUAUUUUAAUUGAUUGCAUGAAAACUUUUCAUAGAAGUAAUACAGGUUGUGACAGGCAUCUUAAAUUUCCCCACACCGAUGGUUCCUCCGAAACGACCUCAGUCCCCGCCCUCCCUCAGCCAAUCCUUUUCCGCAUACUUACCCAGAAAAAAGACAAGACGAGAGCCACAAAGCAAGAACAGUGUGAGACUUCGGUGUCCCAACUCCGUCCAUGGUACCUUAAAGAAUAAGUCAUGCUUUUUUCUGACCGUUGUAACCCCAC